GGGGAAGGUAGCUUGCUACCUGACCUAGCGGCGGACGGGUGAGUAAUGCUUAGGAAUCUGCCUAUUAGUGGGGGACAACAUCUCGAAAGGGAUGCUAAUACCGCAUACGUCCUACGGGAGAAAGCAGGGGACCUUCGGGCCUUGCGCUAAUAGAUGAGCCUAAGUCGGAUUAGCUAGUUGGUGGGGUAAAGGCCUACCAAGGCGACAAUCUGUAGCGGGUCUGAGAGGAUGAUCCGCCACACUGGGACUGAGACACGGCCCAUACUCCUACGGGAGGCAGCAGUGGGGAAUAUUGGACAAUGGGGGGAACCCUGAUCCAGCCAUGCCGCGUGUGUGAAGAAGGCCUUUUGGUUGUAAAGCACUUUAAGCGAGGAGGAGGCUACCGAGAUUAAUACUCUUGGAUAGUGGACGUUACUCACAGAAUAAGCACCGGCUAACUCUGUGCCAGCAGCCGCGGUAAUACAGAGGGUGCAAGCGUUAAUCGGAUUUACUGGGCGUAAAGCGCGCGUAGGUGGCCAAUUAUGUCAAAUGUGAAAUCCCCGAGCUUAACUUGGGAAUUGCAUUCGAUACUGGUUGGCUAGAGAAUGAGAGAGGAUGGUAGAAUUCCAGGUGUAGCGGUGAAAUGCGUACAGAUCUGGAGGAAUACCUAUGGAGAAGGCAGCCUCUCUGGCCUAAUACUGACACUGAUGUGCGAAAGCAUGGGGAGCAAACAGGAUUAGAUACCCUGGUAGUCCAUGCCGUACACGAUGUCUACUAGCCGUGGGGGCCUUUGAGGCUUUAGUGGCGCACCUAACGCGAUAAGUAGACCGCCUGGG
This 815-nucleotide ribosomal RNA is filed under the name uncultured Gammaproteobacteria bacterium. RNAcentral describes it as "bacterial SSU rRNA". It matches the Rfam family "Bacterial small subunit ribosomal RNA", at positions 68 to 877 of the family's 1533-position model. Lineage: Bacteria; Pseudomonadati; Pseudomonadota; Gammaproteobacteria. The record is from RNAcentral.